Small nuclear RNA from Ochotona princeps (American pika), 105 nucleotides. The record is from RefSeq and is a predicted model, not a curated record. NCBI's taxonomy places the organism in Eukaryota, Metazoa, Chordata, Mammalia, Lagomorpha, Ochotonidae.
GUUCGCUUCAGUAGCACAUAUACUAAAAUUGGAAUCAAACAGUGAAGAUUAGCAUGACUCCUGCGCAACGAUGUCACACAGAUUUGUGAGGCAUUCUAUAUAUAA